Molecule: long non-coding RNA, 889 nt
Filed under: Homo sapiens (human)
Lineage: Eukaryota; Metazoa; Chordata; Mammalia; Primates; Hominidae
Description: HSALNT0305620
Source: RNAcentral
UGUGUCUGAGCUCUGACUCUCCUUGUGUGGGUCUUUCUGUGGCUGUUGUGGGGGAUAGGGGUGAGAUGCCCAGGUUAAUGGAGUUGUGUACAUAGGAGGAUUAUGCUGCCUCUGCUGAGUCAUGCAGGUUGUCAGGGAAGUGGGGGAAAGCCGGCAGUCAUAGGCCUCACCCAGCUCCCAUGCAAACCAAAGAGCAGUUCUCAUGGAGCCUGUUUCCAGGUGGUGGGCAAGAUGGGCUUGAAAACUUGCCUCAGGCUACCUGCCUCUCAACUAUGGAAAAAAAGGGCUUGGUUCUUCCCCUGCCUGUGGAGUCUGCACAACAGAUUUGUGCCCUCCCAUGAGUUCUGGCCAGGAGGCUUCUCGCCCUGUUCAAAUUGUUACAAAGUUCAACUAUAGAUUUCUUUCUUCCUGUGGAGUUUCAACACCUGCUCCUCUGGCCACCCUCACAAUGGAUCCCUGUGGUGCCAAGCAGGAAUGGCCUGUUUGGGCACCCAGUGAGCUCCCAGGGCCUUUCUACUGCUUCCUCAAACCCUGUAUUUUGCUCAGCUCUCUAAAUGGAUUCAACUCCAGAGAAGACUAUCAAGUAGUUAGGAAAGAAAGUCAGUGAGAUGUCUCAGGCGUGACUCAGCUACGGAAACAAUAGCAAUCAGAGGACAUUUGGAGAUGAAGAAAAAAAAGAAACAAACUUCAAUACAAUGAGAAAUAUACCAGUACAUGUAUGACACUCAAGUAACAUAAUGAUCUUAAGGCUAAUUUACUACCUCCUUGUUGCCUGACAGAGACCUGGAACCAAACCCAGAACUUCACUUCCCUGUGCCAGAAGGAUUCCAGUGAGCUUUUCCCACAGGCCCUACAGUCUUCUCCAGGUGAACCUCGGUCACUAUCUAUA